This 455-nucleotide long non-coding RNA is filed under the name Ornithorhynchus anatinus (platypus). RNAcentral's name for it is "lncRNA (ENSOANG00000047448.1)". The record is from RNAcentral. Lineage: Eukaryota; Metazoa; Chordata; Mammalia; Monotremata; Ornithorhynchidae.
GUUUACAGUCUACCCCCUUAAGGAGUUUACAGUCUAGUGGAAAUAUCCAAUCAUCACAUUAGCAUUAUAAAUGAAAUAGAAAGUUUCAGCAAGAUCAGCAGACCCAGUAUAGUUAGGUGUAUUAUCCCUUUGUGUUAUGUGUAAAUGGUUGUUUUCCAGUUACAGGUCUGUCUUCUAACCUGGCUUCCUGUGCUUGAAAUUUGGCUCAGUGGAAUAUAAUAAAGACACCUCAGUUCACGUCGGACCAUUCACAGCAGCAGAAGGGCAGGAUCGGCUGUAGAAAAGAUUUACAUUCUUUUUGGGAAGAGUCCAUUGCCUUUUUAUUUCCUAAAUGGCCAUUUUGUAUUUCACCCGUUGUUGAAUCAAAAGCAGAUAUCUCAAGAGGUGCUGGACCCUGAGAGUGAAGUUUAGUGCAUCACGUAAAGUCUGUGAACAAAGUUUUUCCUCCAGUAUGC